Molecule: small nucleolar RNA, 73 nt
Rfam family: Small nucleolar RNA sR3
Source: Rfam
AUUGAUGAUGAGCAACGGGUCUGCUGAGGCCUCUCGACGGGGAGGCCGUUGAUGAUCCGUUGGAGCACUGAGA